Molecule: ribosomal RNA, 408 nt
Filed under: Triticum aestivum (bread wheat)
Lineage: Eukaryota; Viridiplantae; Streptophyta; Magnoliopsida; Poales; Poaceae
Description: partial small subunit ribosomal RNA
Source: RNAcentral
AUGCUGGGCGCGCAUCCUCGUCGUCGCAUCUGGGGCGAGGACCUGCUUCAGAUGCACCAUGUCCGGGACAGGGCUCCGUUGGGCUGGCACUGGGAGGUGCUACCUUCCGGGGCGCGCAGGUUGGUGAGGAACCGGGCGCCCGCCGUCGACCAGAAUCUUCUUUGGUGGCGUUUGCGUGGGCCACUUUCGGUGCGGAGGCAGCCGACCCCGCCGGAGGUGGUACGUCGCCGUGUCAGGGAGGAGGACGAGCACGUCCAUCACUACAUGGUUGCGUUGGACAACAGGUUCUGCAAUACCUGGCAGGUUCUUCAGGGAUCUCACCCGAACUAUGAUCCUGUGAGGUUUCCUUUUCUUUGGGUGUCCACCGCCCGCGCCUCAGGAACUGCGAGUGAUGUUAUAUAUAUAUGA